GUUAAAACCUAUUUAAUUGUUAUGAGGAGAUAAUCAACUUUAUAAAUUAAAAAGUGAUAAAAUAAUUUGUUAUAUGAAAGAGGUCGCACAUGUGUGGAGGAUAUCGAUUGUCCAGGAAGUAUGUGUGCGUUUACGUUUUAUCCAAUAUGUGUUUAUGGCAUAUGUGAUUGCAUUGGUCUUGCGUUGACAUAGAAUAGGAAAUCAAAGUAUUUGGUUUUUAGUUCACACCCUAAAGAGUAGACAAAUAUUCUACUAGAGUCUUAUAUGAAAUGUCAUAUAGUUAAAGUGUUUACAUCUAAGAUAUUGAUCUUUUUAUUUUAAUUUUUAUGAAUCUUGUAAGUAUGACUUUGUUAAUAUCUUUUUAUUUUAAUUUUUAUGAAUUUUGUAAGUAUGACUUUGUUAA
Molecule: long non-coding RNA, 403 nt
Organism: Vicia villosa (hairy vetch)
Lineage: Eukaryota; Viridiplantae; Streptophyta; Magnoliopsida; Fabales; Fabaceae
Exons: 2
Source: RefSeq, a predicted model, not a curated record